GGACUAAUAUAUCGGUCGUGCCUCGGUACGUACUGGUAUUUUUGGUUUCUCCCUUCUGACGAACCUUGAUGUCAUUAAUUUGGUGUCUUGGGGAAUCAGGACUGUUACUUUGAAAAAUUAGAGUGUUUAAAGCAGGCUCACGCUUGAAUACAUUAGCAUGGAAUAAUGAAAUAGGACGUUUGAUUCUAUUUUGUUGGUUUCUAGGAUCGACGUAAUGAUUAAUAG
RNAcentral lists this ribosomal RNA (225 nucleotides) under uncultured Glomeromycotina. RNAcentral describes it as "partial small subunit ribosomal RNA". The stretch from base 46 to 225 matches the Rfam family "Eukaryotic small subunit ribosomal RNA", at positions 693 to 875 of the family's 1831-position model. The record is from RNAcentral. Lineage: Eukaryota; Fungi; Glomeromycota.